Zea mays is the source of this 258-nucleotide RNA transcript. It is a transcript of the gene named RNA recognition motif protein pseudogene, with no coding region annotated. The record is from RefSeq and is marked validated. The transcript has 3 exons. NCBI's taxonomy places the organism in Eukaryota, Viridiplantae, Streptophyta, Magnoliopsida, Poales, Poaceae.
GUUUGAGUUGCUAACUAACAAUCAUAUGUAGUUCUGGUGCUAAUUUCUCUUCUAUUGUUCAGGUUACUGAAGAAAACCUCGCAGCACUAUUUAUAAAUUGCGGACAGGUUGUGGACUGUCGCAUGUGUGGGGACCCAAAUUCAGUCCUUAGGUUUGCUUUCAUAGAGUUCACUGAUGAGGAGGGUGCAAGGGCUGCUCUGAAUCUGUCAGGAACCGUGCUUGGAUAUUAUCUUGUCAAUGUUCUGCCGUAAAAAACUG